Zonotrichia albicollis (white-throated sparrow) is the source of this 1644-nucleotide long non-coding RNA. NCBI's taxonomy places the organism in Eukaryota, Metazoa, Chordata, Aves, Passeriformes, Passerellidae. The record is from Ensembl.
AUGGGGCGGACGCCACGGCCCCGCCGCCGCCUUCCAGCGGCUCGGCCUCCAGGUACCCGAGCAGCGGCGGCGGCGGCUCCUCGGCGCAGAUGGAGCCGUCGCGGUGCAGGACGGCGGGGCGGGCGGCGACCGCCCGAGUCUGCGCCAGGCGCCGAGCCAGGUCGGGCAGCUGGAAGUACUCAGCCUCCCGCUGGAGGCGGCUGCGCUCGGGGAAGUGCUCGGGCAGCACAAGCUGCAGGUCCCGCAGGUAGUCCAGGAUGUAGCGGAAGAGGAAGCCGUCGCGGUCGAGGAAGAAGCGACCCUUGCUGUCCCGGGGCAGCUCGCUGGGCUGCUGCUGCGAGAACAUGCGCCAGAGCAGCGAGUCGCGCACCGAGACCACGGUGCAGCGCCGCGUCACGUACACCUGCCCGCCCACGUUCAGCUCCACGAUCUCCGGGAAGGAAGCCCAGCCGCCCGUCGCCGCCGCGGCCGCCCCGCUGCCCGGCGCCCCGCUCCCCGCCGCGGGCGACACGCCGCCGCCGUUGGGCAGCCCGCGGGCGCUGUCCGCCAGGGCCAUACCGGAGCGAGCCCGCCGGAGCCCACGCCCUUCCUCCUCUUCCUCCGGCCGCCUGGGCUACGGCAGGGCCGCCGCCCUCGGGGGAGCGCGCAGCCCUCCGCUGCUGCCCGCCGCAGCCUCCCGCCCCGUCUGGCGCCGGAGCCGCGCUGCCGCUGCGCUCCCCGCGGCCGCGCCUCUGCCCGCUGCCGGACAAACUCCUCCGUCGGGCUGCGAACGGAGAGCCCCGGCACCGGCGGCACGGCCGUGUUUAUGUAGCGCGGCCGCACCUCGCGGGAGGCGUGGGAGGCUGGCGGGAGGCAGAGCCGAGCGCACGGGGAGGAGAAGGGGACGGCCCUGCACUGACGCAGGGUCCCCCGUCGUCGUCCGUCCCCCGUUCCCCCCCUCCUUUCCCGGUCCUCCUUCCCCGGUUGCUCGGGGAGCCUCUCCCCGCCCGGGCUCCCGUCGCCGUGGGCGAGCACAGCGGUGCCUGUCCGGCAGGGAUAAAACCUUGGGGGUCCCGCCUCUCUCCUGCCUCCCCUGUCCCCCUGAGCGAGGCUCCGGCUCGCUCCUCGGCUUCUCCGAGACGUCUCAUUUUCCGCAGGCAAGACGAGCCCCCUGUUUGCCCCGAAGUGCAGGAGCAGGCAAGCGGCGGGGCGCUGCUGCUCUGCCGAAGGCGCUGUGCACCCCUGCUAAUCCUCCUAAGGCUUGCCCAACCCUCUCCAAAUGAGAACUCCGGCAAGAUAACCGUGUCCCCUCCCUCCUGUCGCCUUCGCAGGAGAAAACGCGAGCCUGCGGUGCUGCCCGCUCUCUCCUCCCGCGGCUCCCCGGCCUGUUCCGGGCUUGCGAGACACCCCCAUGAAGGUCUCCGUAAAACCCCCCCGAUCCUCAUUCCCGGACGGAGACGCGCGGAUCGCACCGUCGGGAGGCGCCGGGAGCGCCGUCCAAGGGAUGCCCCGGCGGCCGGGGGAGGACCCUGGUGGCGAGGGACACCUCGGCGCCGAUGGGGUCCCCUCCAGCUGCCUGACAAGCGGCGCUUCACUGUGAGAGCCGAGCUCCUCGUGUCUGCGUGCAUAUUUGUGUAUUUAGGUGCCCUUUCAGCUCAGAUUUAA